CUUGAUCAUAUCUAUCCUCAACUCCCUCUGGAUUCCAGACACAUAUGCCUCUCCCACCUUUCCUGCCUGUAUCACUGUCACUUCCUCCUGCCUCUUCCUCUUCUCCCUGCUCUUCCCCCUCCUCCUUCCCCUCUUCUCCUUUUUCCCCACUGAGGUCACCAGUACUACCUGCAUAAGCGCAGGCAACCUACAAGCAGCCAUAUCCUGAAGAAGACUCCUCCCGCUCCAGCAGCCAACAGUGGCCCAUAGCCUCUAGGUUAAGGGCGGGGCCUCGUGAGCCCCUCCCUACCCACAUCUCUAUCUAUGCCGUUAUUGGCUGGCUUGAUCUUGUGGAAACUUCUUGGGUGCAGCUAUGUUUGAAGUCUGUCUCUGUGUUACUGCAGUGAAUGGUGCAUACAAGGGCUUAUGAAGCUGAGGGAUGCCUCAAAGGUUUUAUUGUAAAUAACAGCAGAAACCACACUCCACCUUUCUCUGAGCCUGCUAAAGUGGGAACUGGUGCCUGGCUUAACUUAACCCUCUAAUUCUGCAUGAAAUCACUUAAGGGUCCGUGGCUUUGUGUUCUCUAAGAAGCUAGCAGAAGAAAAUGAU
Molecule: long non-coding RNA, 588 nt
Filed under: Mus spicilegus (steppe mouse)
Lineage: Eukaryota; Metazoa; Chordata; Mammalia; Rodentia; Muridae
Description: lncRNA (ENSMSIG00000020328.1)
Source: RNAcentral